This 253-nucleotide ribosomal RNA is filed under the name uncultured bacterium. RNAcentral's name for it is "partial 16S ribosomal RNA". It matches the Rfam family "Bacterial small subunit ribosomal RNA", at positions 524 to 776 of the family's 1533-position model. The record is from RNAcentral.
UACGUAGGGCGCAAGCGUUGUCCGGAAUUAUUGGGCGUAAAGAGCUCGUAGGCGGACCAGUAAGUCGGUUGUGAAAGUCCAGGGCUCAACCCUGGAAAGCCGGCCGAUACUGCUGGUCUAGAAUCCGGAAGAGGCGAGUGGAAUUCCUGGUGUAGCGGUGAAAUGCGCAGAUAUCAGGAGGAACACCAAUGGCGAAGGCAGCUCGCUGGGACGGUAUUGACGCUGAGACGCGAAAGCGUGGGGAGCAAACAGG